GCCGAAGUAGCUCAGUUGGUAGAGCACGUCUUUCGUAAAGACGGGGUCACCGGUUCAAUCCCGGUCUUCGGCUCCA
Molecule: transfer RNA, 76 nt
Filed under: bacterium
Lineage: Bacteria
Description: tRNA-Thr
Rfam family: tRNA
About the family: Transfer RNA (tRNA) molecules are approximately 80 nucleotides in length.
Source: RNAcentral